UACGAAGGGGGCUAGCGUUGCUCGGAAUCACUGGGCGUAAAGCGCACGUAGGCGGCUUUCUAAGUCAGGGGUGAAAUCCUGGAGCUCAACUCCAGAACUGCCUUUGAUACUGGGAAGCUCGAGUCCGGAAGAGGUGAGUGGAGCUCCGAGUGUAGAGGUGAAAUUCGUAGAUAUUCGGAAGAACACCAGUGGCGAAGGCGGCUCACUGGUCCGGUACUGACGCUGAGGUGCGAAAGCGUGGGGAGCAAACAGG
This 253-nucleotide ribosomal RNA is filed under the name uncultured bacterium. RNAcentral describes it as "partial 16S ribosomal RNA". It matches the Rfam family "Bacterial small subunit ribosomal RNA", at positions 524 to 776 of the family's 1533-position model. The record is from RNAcentral.